GAUGAAGAACGUAGCGAAAUGCGAUACGUAGUGUGAAUUGCAGAAUUCAGUGAAUCAUCGAAUCUUUGAACGCACAUUGCGCCCUUUGGUAUUCCAAAGGGCAUGCCUGUUCGAGCGUCAUUUGUACCCUCAAGCUUUGCUUGGUGUUGGGCGUCUUGUCUCCAGUCCGCUGGAGACUCGCCUUAAAGUCAUUGGCAGCCGGCCUACUGGUUUCGGAGCGCAGCACAAGUCGCACUCUUUUCCAGCCAAUGUCAGCGUGCAACAAGCCUUUUUUCAACUUGUGACCUCGGAUCAGGUAGGGAUACCCGCUGAACUUAAGCAUAUCAAUAAGCGGAGGA
This 338-nucleotide unclassified non-coding RNA is filed under the name soil metagenome. RNAcentral's name for it is "partial contains 5.8S ribosomal RNA, internal transcribed spacer 2, and large subunit ribosomal RNA". The stretch from base 1 to 120 matches the Rfam family "5.8S ribosomal RNA", at positions 35 to 154 of the family's 154-position model. The record is from RNAcentral.